AACGAACGCUGGCGGCAGGCUUAACACAUGCAAGUCGAACGCCCCGCAAGGGGAGUGGCAGCCGGGUGAGUAACGCGUGGGAACAUACCCUUUUCUACGUAAUAGCCCUGGGAAACUGGGAUUAAUACCGUAUACGCCCUACGGGGGAAAGAUUUAUCGGGGAAGGAUUGGCCCGCGUUGGAUUAGCUAGUUGGUGGGGUAAAGGCCUACCAAGGCGACGAUCCAUAGAUGGUCUGAGAGGAUGAUCCGCCACAUUGGGACUGAGACACGGCCCAAACUCCUACGGGAGGCAGCAGUGGGGAAUAUUGGACAAUGGGCGGAAGCCUGAUCCAGCCAUGCCGCGUGAGUGAUGAAGGCCUUAGGGUUGUAAAGCUCUUUCACCGAUGAAGAUAAUGACGGUAGUCGGAGAAGAAGCCCCGGCUAACUUCGUG
Molecule: ribosomal RNA, 431 nt
Filed under: uncultured bacterium
Lineage: Bacteria
Description: partial 16S ribosomal RNA
Rfam family: Bacterial small subunit ribosomal RNA
Source: RNAcentral